UGGAGUUGAGCCCUCGCAGGGAGAAGAGGAGAGCAGAGCGCCGCACGUUGCCGGGGGCUGAGCCAGGGCGGCUUUGGGGGGGGGCUGUGCCCACCCGGCGGGGACGCGGCCAAUUCAGGCGGGGCAGCGCCGCAUGACGGGCGGGUGCAGGCCGGGCAGCACGGCCGGGCUCGGCCCACGCCCAGCCCUGGGCUAAACCCCCCGCCCCGCCGGGAGCGGAGCGCCGAGCCCCGCCGAAGCGGCGGUGCCAGCGGGCAGCGGGAUGCCGGAGCGAGGCGGGUCCCGGCUCUAGGUGAGGCUCGCACAUGGAACCGCGUCCCGCACAGCCCGUCCUUGUGCGCGGCGGCACGUUCGCUGCUUCCUCCCACGCCGGAGCGCUGCAGCGAGGCACUAUCCGAGAGAUGGGGACUAGCGAAGGCUUGUGAAUGAAAAGAAAUGCAGCAUAAGUGAAUCAAUGCGGGCUAACCGACUCGAGCCCGUGAAUAAAUUAUUAAUUUCUGCUCGCAGAAGAAUCCCCUCUAUAGAGCGAGCAUAGGAUGACAAGCUCCUCCACGGAGCGAGCGGCGUGGGGAGCAGGAGGGAUUGGUCCAGAUACUUCUUAUCUACAAUGAAUUUUAUCUAAAGAGGAAAAUAAAUGCAGAAGGCUAAAGUGCUAAAAGUCUCAUUGAAGAUGCAAGUGAUCUCUACUGAAAGUUAUUAAUAAAAAAGGAGGGGUGGGGGAGGAGGAAAUCCAUCAGAUUUGCUAUCUACAACAUAUAUCAUAAAAUUCAAUUACUGUAAAAAUAGACAAGCAAGUCCUAACUACACAGCAUACGAUGGUGUUAUUAAUUGCUUUGUGGUGUAUUACACAGUGGUUCUAAACAUCAAGCUUCAAAUCUUCAGAUGUGUUCACCACUGCGCAUUUUUUUGUUUGGGCUAAGAGCUGAAAAUAUGCCCCCACGCUUACACCUCUGAAAUAUUCUUCAAAAAUAGUGACCCUUUAAGUAGAGAAAGCAGAAGAGACAGGAAAAAAAAAAAGAGGAAGUAGCCACCUUAUGCAGUAAGCAAUUUAAUAUGUUCUCUACUGAACAUCCUUCCAGCCUUUAACCUGUAUGCAACUUCUCUCUUAAUUCUUAGUGUGUUUUAUAUACAAAGGGAAACAAAGACAGGAGACAUAGUGGGAUAACAAAGGACAUCUCAGCUUUACAAAGCACUUCAAGAAUGUCAGAUAAAAGGCAAGAUCUGAAUGCUCCAGAUUUAUUUGGAAACAACCCCAUGGUGGAAGCAUUCAUCAAGUAGUGUUUGCAUGCAGUGAGAAUGCAGGUUUACUUGUUUCAAGUGAGCUGUACAUCAGAGAGUGAGAGACUGCUUAUUAGACAUAUUCUGUAGAGACUACAUACAUGUACACAUCCUCUUUGAAUGUUAUGAAGGUCCCGUGUGAUAAGUUUUAAGUCUUUCAUUGGUAUGGGAAUGCCUGCUUAUUGACUAUUUCCAAUCCACUUAUGACAAAGAUUGAGGUCAAAUAACAUUACCCACUGGAUUAAAUGAGCACAAUUCCACAUUAUGUGCAUGAGCUAGUGCCUUGGAAAAAUAAAAAUGGUACAAAAAUUCUAAAUCUUA
Molecule: long non-coding RNA, 1599 nt
Organism: Numida meleagris (helmeted guineafowl)
Lineage: Eukaryota; Metazoa; Chordata; Aves; Galliformes; Numididae
Exons: 2
Source: RefSeq, a predicted model, not a curated record